This 1005-nucleotide ribosomal RNA is filed under the name Bacillus zhangzhouensis. RNAcentral's name for it is "bacterial SSU rRNA". It matches the Rfam family "Bacterial small subunit ribosomal RNA", at positions 49 to 1036 of the family's 1533-position model. The record is from RNAcentral. Lineage: Bacteria; Bacillati; Bacillota; Bacilli; Caryophanales; Bacillaceae.
CUAUACAUGCAAGUCGAGCGGACAGAAGGGAGCUUGCUCCCGGAUGUUAGCGGCGGACGGGUGAGUAACACGUGGGUAACCUGCCUGUAAGACUGGGAUAACUCCGGGAAACCGGAGCUAAUACCGGAUAGUUCCUUGAACCGCAUGGUUCAAGGAUGAAAGACGGUUUCGGCUGUCACUUACAGAUGGACCCGCGGCGCAUUAGCUAGUUGGUGGGGUAAUGGCUCACCAAGGCGACGAUGCGUAGCCGACCUGAGAGGGUGAUCGGCCACACUGGGACUGAGACACGGCCCAGACUCCUACGGGAGGCAGCAGUAGGGAAUCUUCCGCAAUGGACGAAAGUCUGACGGAGCAACGCCGCGUGAGUGAUGAAGGUUUUCGGAUCGUAAAGCUCUGUUGUUAGGGAAGAACAAGUGCGAGAGUAACUGCUCGCACCUUGACGGUACCUAACCAGAAAGCCACGGCUAACUACGUGCCAGCAGCCGCGGUAAUACGUAGGUGGCAAGCGUUGUCCGGAAUUAUUGGGCGUAAAGGGCUCGCAGGCGGUUUCUUAAGUCUGAUGUGAAAGCCCCCGGCUCAACCGGGGAGGGUCAUUGGAAACUGGGAAACUUGAGUGCAGAAGAGGAGAGUGGAAUUCCACGUGUAGCGGUGAAAUGCGUAGAGAUGUGGAGGAACACCAGUGGCGAAGGCGACUCUCUGGUCUGUAACUGACGCUGAGGAGCGAAAGCGUGGGGAGCGAACAGGAUUAGAUACCCUGGUAGUCCACGCCGUAAACGAUGAGUGCUAAGUGUUAGGGGGUUUCCGCCCCUUAGUGCUGCAGCUAACGCAUUAAGCACUCCGCCUGGGGAGUACGGUCGCAAGACUGAAACUCAAAGGAAUUGACGGGGGCCCGCACAAGCGGUGGNGCAUGUGGUUUAAUUCGAAGCAACGCGAAGAACCUUACCAGGUCUUGACAUCCUCUGACAACCCUAGAGAUAGGGCUUUCCCUUCGGGGACAGAGUGACA